UGACAAACCCACAACUGGUGACCCCGACGUCAUUGACUACGCAGAGACGGAACAGCACGUUUCAGUUUGAGAGAGAAACUGCAUCCGGAUCCCCAUAAAUCUCAUCCCGGACGACUUCGCUGUCAAAGGCUAACUGGUUAUGACCCUGAUGUUAUCGUCCCUGGAAUUUCACUGGAAAACUUUAAGGAUCUGCCACACCCUGGAUAGCAGCCUCCACCUGGGAAGCAAGUAACAUCUCUUGGGGCGAGAUAAAGAAAUUAGAUUCUCAGGCCACUAAUGUCAUGAGGGAGGCAAAAGUGCCUCCCACUCCAAAAUACAGCUUUCUGGCAUAUCUAGCAGUAAUUUCUCAUGCAUCAGCUCAGGUAUUGUUGCUUCUUUUACUCUUUAUAUCGCUUCUUUAAGUACAGGGGCCCAUCUAUACUGGGCCCAUAUUAUUCACCCUCCAGUUUUCCAGCCAGUCACUUGGUGGGAUGCAGACCCCCCAACUCAGCACUAAUGAUACUCAAUGGGCUGGAGGAGUCUGGCUCCCUCCUCAAAGUCACCUGUUAGAAAAUCGUGAUUGGAUGAUGUUAAAUGAAACUGCUUCUUUUAUCUCCUCUUCCCCCCGCCCCAAUUUGUGUGUCUAAUGUCCCUUUAUCCUUUGACUUACAUGCUAAGACCUGUACUUAUUUGUACUGUUUACCUAAGACUGGCACAAAACCUGCUAACUUAACUUUAGUUUUUGCUGCAGCUUUUGACAUUAAUCAAACAACGUCUGCAGCCUUUCCUCCGCCUGUUGCUCGUUGUCAUAUGUCUAAAGAAUGGAGUCCUCAUACUCAAUCCGUCUCUUGGGUCCCUUGCAGGGCACCCAGUCCCCGUGGAGCCCCACUUUUUAACUACACAGUCUAUGGUUGGGGCCCACAAGGAUAUCUUUCUGCUAAUCAUACUCGUAUUGGUUUUGGCCUUCUGGCCACCUCUCAAGUAACCUGGACAGAUGGGGGACUCUCUGGGCCUAUUUUACGCCUCUCUAACUCUCAUGCCCAUAGUCCCUGGAACAUUAAUCUCUGCCGCAUUGCUUUGCCUUUCUUUCCCAGGACUCUAUCACAUGGUACAUAUGUUACUAACACAGUUGUUAAUACUCAGUUUUAUCGUAUUGAUGUAGACUCAUGUAUCCAAUCAUGUAUUAUUGUGUACUACUCACCCUUAUGUUUUUCUUAUGACAUCUUCUAUCCUUAAUGUUACAUUAGAAGAUGGAUUUUAUACUACCCAUGUCCGGCCUCCGGCCUGGUACACUUCCUGUAUUAGCCCAAUGAACAUUACUUCUCAGUAUCUCACAGGUACUCAUUCUAAAGUGACAACCUCAGAUUUGACUACCUGUUAAUUUAACCCGCCCCUGGGAGGGCAAAAUUGGUUUUGUUAAAUGAACUCAUGCAAUUUCAAAGUGGGGACCAAAACGCUUUAUUGGUUAGCUGAUUGCUUUUAUCAUCUCAGCUGUUACUCUUGCCACUGCUUCAGUAGCAACAGUGCCCCUUACUAAAUCAAUCCAUACCGCUCUGGUUGUUAAUCAUGUUAUGACUAAUGUUACUCAGGCUAUGAUAACUCAGACUCAAAUUGAUGAUGGAAUUAUGCGUUGGCUUCAGGCCUUGGAAGCUGCUUUGGAAUGGCUUGGUGACUGACAACAUUGUUGUUGAUUGCCAGCCCCUGCAGUGUGAUUGGCAACAUGAUAAGAUACAUGUUACUCCUCUUAAAUAUAACCACUCCCAGUAUUCUUGGGAAGUUAUU
Non-coding RNA from Vicugna pacos (alpaca), 1761 nucleotides. The record is from RefSeq and is a predicted model, not a curated record. NCBI's taxonomy places the organism in Eukaryota, Metazoa, Chordata, Mammalia, Artiodactyla, Camelidae.